This 1224-nucleotide long non-coding RNA is filed under the name Populus trichocarpa (black cottonwood). RNAcentral describes it as "long non-coding RNA (PTRI_LNC003803)". Lineage: Eukaryota; Viridiplantae; Streptophyta; Magnoliopsida; Malpighiales; Salicaceae. The record is from RNAcentral.
CACACACACCCAUCUUUUUUUACUAUAUUUUACUCACACACACCCACAAUUAUUAAUUUACAAAUCAUCAAAAUUCAAAAUAAUUCAAACAACUCAUUAAACAAUUGUAAAAAUUCACAAAUCAAUUUGCUGAGAAUUCUGGAAUGGUAUUGGGAGUCCUAGUGGCGCAUGGAACCACGCGCCGUUAUAAGAAAGGCUGGAGAUUGGUAGAUCUGGACUGAUUUCUUCUUUUCCUUCUUCUUGUGCUGGCAGUGAAGGAUUUAGUUACCUGCAAAAGAAAAUUUUUAUAGGAGCAAAAAUCAUCAAUUUUUUUCUUCUGAUUCUCUCUCUCAGUUUCGUCUCUCUAUUUUUUUUUACUGCAGAUGGUCACUACUACCACAAAUGAAAGAGGUAACGGCUGGAGUAAACGGGGUUGUUGGUUGGUGGCUGGAGAAGGGUGGAUCCACGGUGCAAGAAGAAGCAGCCGCUGGUUAUGAUGAGGAUAUGCUGUGAAGGACGUUGUUACUGGGAGGAGGAGAAGUCACUGCUUUACUGGCAUAGUUGUGAUGUUUCGGCCAAGAGAGGGUCCGAUUUGGAAGGGUCUACUUUCAGUGGAGAAGAAGAAGGGAAAUGACGUUGGGCAGUGAGGUAUUAGGUUGGAAAUGGGGUUUGGUCCAUGGUGGUAGUGAUGAUUGAGAAGAGAAAGGAAGGAGAUGUUGUGGGUGGUUUUGGUUUGAAGUUGUAGAUGCUGACUUGAGGAGCUGGCGUUCACGGUGGCUGAGGGAAAAACUCUGGUGGUGCUGCUGUCACAGUCGUCUAUGGUAGCAACGAGGAGGAACCUUUAGGCUGAUCUUGAUGUUGAGGCUGGUCUAUUGUGAGAAUGGUUUAUAGGUUAUGAUGGUGAGAGAGGUUGAAGAGGAUGCUGAAGCCUUAUGGUCGAAUGUUGUGCUGCGUGAUGAAUGGGUAGUGGGUGGUGGUUGUCUUGGCAAUAGAGAGGGAAGUCUAGUGGUGGUCUGAUGUGAAAGAGGCAGUAGGUUGAAGAGCUGAGGUAUAUGGUGAAUGGCAUUUUUGCUUGGUUUGGACAUGCAGCUGUAGUGACGGGGAAGAGACAAUGAAAGGGGCAAAAAUUGUUUUCCAGGGUUGACGACAGCUGAUCGAGGUUUGUUUAGGUUUAAGGUUUUUUGUGCUGUGGAGGUGUGGGGAGAGUAUGUGUGAAUAUCUUUAUUUUUUUAUUUUUUUUUAAAU